CAGGAAAUAGUUUAAAUAAAAUAUUAAUUUUGGGGAUUAAUGAUAAAGACUUUUCUUUUUUCCUGA
This 66-nucleotide transfer RNA is filed under the name Suragina sp. KW-2016. RNAcentral's name for it is "tRNA-Pro". Lineage: Eukaryota; Metazoa; Arthropoda; Insecta; Diptera; Athericidae. The record is from RNAcentral.